This 31-nucleotide non-coding RNA is filed under the name Mus musculus (house mouse). The record is from RNAcentral. Lineage: Eukaryota; Metazoa; Chordata; Mammalia; Rodentia; Muridae.
UAGAUUUUCUUUUUAAGAAUGUUAUCCGCCA